Long non-coding RNA from Sander lucioperca (pikeperch), 155 nucleotides. RefSeq lists it as uncharacterized. The transcript is spliced from 3 exons. The record is from RefSeq and is a predicted model, not a curated record. Lineage: Eukaryota; Metazoa; Chordata; Actinopteri; Perciformes; Percidae.
UAGCAUGCUAACGGUUAGCCCCCUCGUCUCAGCUAGUGACGUAGAAAGCCGUGCAGAUUCUGACCAGCUCACCCAGAGACUGAAGGCAGGACACAUUCAGAAACCGGAUCUCACUCAGAACAGCAUGGAUGAUUUUUUUUCAAAGUGUCUACACU